UGGAGUGUCGCCAAGCAGGUAAGGCACGCGGCUGUUAACCGCGCUAUCGCAGGUUCGAGCCCUGCCUCUCCAGCCA
RNAcentral lists this transfer RNA (76 nucleotides) under Mesorhizobium sp. Its description in RNAcentral is "tRNA-Asn". It matches the Rfam family "tRNA". Rfam says of the family: Transfer RNA (tRNA) molecules are approximately 80 nucleotides in length. Their secondary structure includes four short double-helical elements and three loops (D, anti-codon, and T loops). The record is from RNAcentral. Lineage: Bacteria; Pseudomonadati; Pseudomonadota; Alphaproteobacteria; Hyphomicrobiales; Phyllobacteriaceae.